Molecule: ribosomal RNA, 384 nt
Filed under: Triticum aestivum (bread wheat)
Lineage: Eukaryota; Viridiplantae; Streptophyta; Magnoliopsida; Poales; Poaceae
Description: partial small subunit ribosomal RNA
Source: RNAcentral
CUUACCAGGAAAACCUUUUAUAUUGAGACACCCAGAUGUGUUCUUUUUGAUGAUGAACCUAUAGAACAUUUAAAGCACCUUUUCUUCUCAUGUGAUUUUAGCCAUAAUUUUUGGCUUUCACUUGGCAUUGAAUGGGACACAGACCUGAACUGCAAUGACAUGCUGAUUGAGGCCAAAAACAGGACACGGAUCCAACCAUUCAAAGAAUGCCUAAUAGCUGGUUGCUGGACCAUUUGGAAGCAUAGAAACAACAUCAUCUUUGACAACAAGAGAAGGAAUUUGAGUUACUGCAUCACUUGUUUCAAAGAACAUUAUGGCACUAUCAUCAAGAGAGCCAAGCCUAGCCUAAAGGAGGGAAUGCAGAGUUGGCUGGAUUAUUUGUAA